GCGAGUGAAGCGGGAAGAGCUCAAACCGAAAAUCACUACCGCAAGGCAGCGAAUUGUGGUCUAUUGAGGCGUGUCUCAGUGUCGGUCCCGGCCUAAGUCCAUUGGAACAUGGCAUCAGAGAGGGUGAGAAUCCCGUCUUUGGCUGGGGUCCCGGCGCGUUCGAGCCGUCCUCGAAGAGUCGGGUUGCUUGGGAGUGCAGCCCUAAGUGGGUGGUAAAUUUCAUCUGAAGCUAAAUAUAUGUGGGAAACCGAUAGCGAACAAGUACUGUGAAGGAAAGGUGAAAAGAACUUUGAAAAGAGGGUUAAAAGACUUGAAAUCGUUGAGAAGGAAGCAGUAGAAGUGGAUUUAUGUUAGCUAUGAAGCAAGCUAUGUGAGGAACUAACUCGUAGUAGUUAUGUACGUUAUUGGCUACCUGCUACGAUGUAAUAGCACUCUAUGGCGAUUUCAUAGUUAAAGGGCAAGACCAGGUCUAAUCACCUGCUGGAGUCAGUUCAGAGAAAGUCCACUGCUCUGUAGUGAGUCUUUGAACAAAACAGUAGGAUGGCCUGAGGA
This 552-nucleotide ribosomal RNA is filed under the name uncultured Colpodidae. RNAcentral's name for it is "eukaryotic LSU rRNA". It matches the Rfam family "Eukaryotic large subunit ribosomal RNA", at positions 89 to 606 of the family's 3401-position model. Lineage: Eukaryota; Ciliophora; Colpodea; Colpodida; Colpodidae. The record is from RNAcentral.